AACCAUUCUCACCUGCGGCUAGACCUGCGGAGGGAUCAUUACAAGUGACCCCGGUCUAACCACCGGGAUGUUCAUAACCCUUUGUUGUCCGACUCUGUUGCCUCCGGGGCGACCCUGCCUUCGGGCGGGGGCUCCGGGUGGACACUUCAAACUCUUGCGUAACUUUGCAGUCUGAGUAAACUUAAUUAAUAAAUUAAAACUUUCAGCAAUGGAUCU
RNAcentral lists this unclassified non-coding RNA (216 nucleotides) under soil metagenome. RNAcentral describes it as "partial contains 5.8S ribosomal RNA, internal transcribed spacer 2, and large subunit ribosomal RNA". The record is from RNAcentral.